This 2132-nucleotide ribosomal RNA is filed under the name Triticum aestivum (bread wheat). Its description in RNAcentral is "partial small subunit ribosomal RNA". The record is from RNAcentral. Lineage: Eukaryota; Viridiplantae; Streptophyta; Magnoliopsida; Poales; Poaceae.
UACUUUGUUGUUGACCAUGGCAUAUCUUCCCCGGUAUUUGAUCUCUCAGAACUGGUUAAGCUUUCUAGUAAACCACAUCAACUUUAUUGUCUUAACCUUGAACAAACCAGUUCAUUCCCUUUGAGUUAGUUUAAGUAUUGACAGAGUUAUCUUAGAAAAGGAAGAAAAAAAACAGAUUUAUAAGUCAAUUCUGGUAAGGUUCCGAGGAAAAGCGGUACGUAUUUGAUUUGGUUGUUGAUUCUAUUCGUGCUUUUAGUUUCGAAGCUAUUUUUGCCUAUGUGGGUUAUGCAGCUUUGAGUAACGGGUUCCCAUAUCUUUCUGUCAAAGGUGUAGUUUUUGUUGUUUUUGCUCGCGUUUGUAUAUUAUCGCAUAAGCCUUAACAUGGGUUCGGGGAGGGUACCCAAGAUAUGGGCUAAGUAUUGAUCUUUCGAAGAGACCAGGAAGUGAUUGGCCCCGAUUUUCAGGACUUUAGCUUUUACGGUUUUAUCCUUAUUCCGAACGAUAAUAAUCUUUACAGGUUUUUUAUAGUAUAAGCACUUCGUCUUUGUAUUACAUGAGGGUAAUUACACCUUAUCCGCCUUGAAUUUAAUCAGUUAAGUUAAGUCGUAACAGUUAAAUAGGUCUUGAAGAGAGAAAAGGAGACACUUUGUUCUUAGAAAAAACAAGUUUGUUUUCGCGAAUCAAAUCGGAAACAAAGGAGACACGACGUAGAAGAAAUUUCUAAGUAGGUUACCUUAGGGUUGAGGGAAAGAAAACCUAAAGGUAAGAUAAAUCUAUACCACAUACAUCUAGAUUAAGAAUAUAUUUCUUUUGAAAGAGCAAAGUGAAACAGAGCGAAAGAGAUCUUAGAGAUCUUUUUUCUUAUCGAGAUAGGAAAUAAAUUAUAAAUUAUUAUUUUAUUAUUCUCUGAUAAUUUAUUUUUACUCUUAUGAUGAUUUAAUCUUGGAUUAAUUCUAUCAUCCUGAUUAGAUACGUCAUAUUAAUUACUCUUCAUUAUGAUAUUUUAUUUUUAUUUCUUGAGAUAAAGUCUUGAUACUCUGUCUUAUAAGACAAAAGAAUAAAUGAGAAAUGAAAUAAAAAAGAUAAAUUUCAACUAGUUAAAUGUAUUACAUAGAUAUUUGUUUCAUUAUUUAUAUGAAUUUUGUUUCAUCCUUAAGUGUUUUACCUAUUUUAGUAACGUCAAUAAUAUCCCUUCAGAUCUCUAUAGGAUAAACUUCCUCCUGCCCUAAGUUUAGUCCCUUUCCUAGGAAAGAAGAUAACUAAACUAUCUUUAAGCAAAAAGAAAAGGACUGACAUACUAAAACUAAAAGCUACUUACUCGGAAAACAUUACGAAAAUAGAGAUAAGAUACAGCGUCCGCGGAUAGGUCAGAUAUUUGUUUAUGAUUACUCUUUUACUUUUGAUAUGAUUUGAUUUCUUUUGUAUCCUAUCUCUAGGAUUUUAGAUUUUUUCCCGUAUAAUCCCGAUAUGCCUAAGCUUGGCAUCUGGAAGAACCAUUUUGUCUAGUUUGCCUAAUAAUAGCUUUACUAAACUUGACAAAGUUUCUGGGUUGUACGUAAAAAACGUAACCCGAGAAAGUAUUUGACUAAAUUUCUAGUCAAUCAGGUGGUAUGAAAAAGAAAUGCCUUUCUAUUACUCUACCGAGGGACACGAGACUAACUAAAAAAAAAUAAUACUAGAUAGAUCCUCGUUAUGGUUUCACAAAGUUUCCUCCUAAUGGAACUGAAUCCAGACGGAGGCCAGAUUUAAUUUAGUUGGAUUCACUUUACCUCAGAGAUAGCAAGGUGACGUUCUCAAUUGAUACUCUGAAGUAUGUGGAAUUUCAAGUAUCUUGCUUUUCUUCAAAAAACCUCCGGGAAUAGGAGUAAUGCGGAUCGUAAAUCACCCGACCUAUAAAUGGAAUAGUUGAUCGUUUAGGUAUUCCCAAGAUAAACUAAUCCGUGGACUUAACCGUGGACUUAGCCUGACUUGGCUGACAAACAGUUCGAUGACAAGAGGAUAAGAGAGCUUAGAUACUUCAUUCUGUAACUAAAACGUUAUUCUAGCUAAUACAAGUAACGUAUUAUUCGAGGAAACUUUUCGUAACCGCGUGCACAUUUGCUCAACGAGAUGGCUUGACUCGAUAUCGGGAA